Molecule: unclassified non-coding RNA, 268 nt
Filed under: Hevea brasiliensis (rubber tree)
Lineage: Eukaryota; Viridiplantae; Streptophyta; Magnoliopsida; Malpighiales; Euphorbiaceae
Source: RNAcentral
GCACAGGCAGUCUCGACACUCAAUAUUGGUGAAGAUCCUCUUGGGGAGCAGUUUACUCAUGCGAGAGCUUCCUUCUUUAAUGGAAUGAUUGGUAACAGCAAUUUGGGCACUAGAGUGGAUCUCUACAAGGAGUAUUGAUUAAACCAUUGAUUCUAAUAAAGUUGUAUAUAGGCAUAUAGCUGAUGUGGGCGAUAGUGAGAUUGUGUGUUUUGUGAGGCUUGCAACUUAUAUCUGGUUUGAGUUGAGAUUUCUUUGGUGAGACUUGUUA